RNAcentral lists this ribosomal RNA (219 nucleotides) under uncultured bacterium. Its description in RNAcentral is "partial 16S ribosomal RNA". It matches the Rfam family "Bacterial small subunit ribosomal RNA", at positions 28 to 247 of the family's 1533-position model. The record is from RNAcentral.
GACGAACGCUGGCGGCGUGCUUAACACAUGCAAGUCGAGCGGUAAGGCCCUUUCGGGGGUACGACGAGCGGCGAACGGGUGAGUAACACGUGGGUGACCUGCCCUCAGCUCUGGGAUAAGCCUGGGAAACUGGGUCUAAUACUGGAUAUGACUCCACGGUGCAUGUCGUGGGGUGGGAAGCCUUGUGCGGCUGAGGAUGGGCCCGCGGCCUAUCAGCUU